CGGGUGAGCGGGCACGCACACGGACAGUCUAGGGUGCCUCGAUGCCCUCCUCGCCCACCGCUCCCCGUGAAAGCGCGCGUCCCUCGCCCUCGCGCGCUUUCACCCUCUCAUACAGCAUACGGCCAAUGAGAGUGUUUUUAGAAGCGAAAGCUUCAUUACGCUUCCUCUGGCAGCCGUCGGCGACUCAACAAUCUUCACCUUGAGAGCUAGAGGUCAAACCACAAGAGAGCAUUAAGGCGCGUUUAUAGUCCGACGUAAUCGGCACGCGGGCGAGCGUCAUGAGACGCCGGGCAAUGCCCGGCGUCUCAUGACGUCAAGGCUCGCCGAUUGACUGACUAUAUGGUGAAACUUAGCGAAAGCGCCAGUGCGACUCGGACCUUCGAGACGGACUUCGUAAACAAUCCGUUUGGAUAUGUGUGCGACGUGUGUGAAAGACUGCGGCACAUGAAAGACUUGACGCCGGUAUACCUCCUCCAAAUACAGGCAUGGUGCAGCAAAUGGUGCAUGUCCCUCAACGUCAGUUCUUUCAUUCGCUACCCACCGGCAACCAAAUCAUUCCAGCGCAUCGUUUCUCCCGCCAUACGCAUCACAUUGCUGUGUAUCUACCACGCGCCCAUUCCACCACGUAUCAGCGUUCUUUUUUUCUGCACACAGCCUGCUGAAUGGAAUACCGUACUUCCUUCUGACAUCGCCCUCAUCACCAACAUUUCCCGUUUCAAAGCUGCUAUUGAAGACCAUCUUUCAAGUCACGCCACCCAACCUGUUCCGCCAUUUUUCUACGUGCUCACCCCUCACGUAAUGUCCCGUUCUGGGACCUUUGAGGUAUCAUGAAUAAAUAAAUAAAUGGAUAAAUGACGCAUACGAUACUGUAAUCAAUUAUGGAUUGACACAAAUUACGCGAACGAAGGAACAGAAAUUUUUGGGAGUCUGGUUCCAUGAAAACAUGACCUGGAAUACACACAUAUUACAUGUGACCUCAAACGUUGCCAAAGCCAUAGGUUGCAUUCGGAUAAUUAAUUCUUUAAUACCGCUGUGGCUUAAGAGAAACCUUUAUUACUUAUUAGUCUAUUCAAAACUUGCAUACUGUACUUUAGUCUCGGGGACAUUUACUGACUGCAACUACAAUAAAUAAGACCUGCAAAAAAAAAAGGGUACUGCGUCUAUUCGAAAAUUAUAUAGGAGACAUACGCGAAUUACGUACGCCGGAAUAAUUCAUUAAACGUAACAUGUUAAAAGCCAAUCAGAUAUCUCUAUUUAAGCUAAUGCAGCAUAUACACAAUAGAAAUGCUUUUAAAGAAUACACUGCUACCGAAAGUGACAGAUAUAAAUUGAGAAAAGUUGACCGUCGACUACCUAAAGUAAGGACAAAUUAUUAAAAGCAGACCGUGCAUUAUUAAAUUACGUCUUUCCUGAAUAAAUAUGAAGACGGUUAGCUGGAGUGAUUCAGCAAAAAAUUAAAGCGUAUGUUCAAGAUUCAUCUCAUAACAAACUGAAGUCGGAAUGUGACCAUCUCCAAGCUAGAAAAAUGUACUAAUUACUACUGUGUUCCAUAACACUUUAAAUGUGUAAUUAAUGUAAAUAAGUGACAUUUACAAUUCCUCCUGUUACUUCAGUUUGCUUUAGGAUAUGGUACUGUAAUAUACCAUUGUUGUAGCACUUGGAUUUUCUGCAAUAUUGAGUGUAUAAUAUACUCCUUUAUUGCUAAGAAAUUUAGAAAUUUUCUUUGUGUAACUCUACACAUGUGAAGAAAGGUAAAUAUUUUUUCAUCACUGUGAUCAUCACUUUAAUUUUUGCAUCAUUUUUUGUUUGUGUGUAGCUCUGGACGUUUUAUUUGUGAUUUAUUUCUUGUAUUGCACUUGUUGCGAACUGUGCAGGGCAGAGGCCACCGUCAGGUGAUUGAAGCCUUUAGCCUCUGUCUCCUCAGGCAAGACCUGAAAUAAAAAUGAAAUUGAAAAUUGUAUAGUGAUUGACCCCACUAUUGCAUUUUCUUUGGAUAUCACAGGUUCUAUACUCGUAGUAUGUUGUACGCGUGUAGCUCAUGUCUAGCGUUGUUAUAUGUUGUGAUGUGCCUUGUUGUGUAGAUAUAAAUGAAUGUAUGUGCGUGCUUUCAGACUCCAUUGU
Dermacentor silvarum is the source of this 2121-nucleotide long non-coding RNA. RefSeq lists it as uncharacterized. Lineage: Eukaryota; Metazoa; Arthropoda; Arachnida; Ixodida; Ixodidae. The transcript is spliced from 3 exons. The record is from RefSeq and is a predicted model, not a curated record.